UCUCCCGCCCCCUUCUUUCUUUCGAAGCAAGUUGCUCGCUUGUGAAACAAGUGUUGCAGCCUUCAUUCUCAGAGAAACUGAUUGGCCAUUGCCGACAAAGGGUUAAAGCUUCGAUGGUGCGUAAAUCAAGCCCUCUCGCCCCCCCCCCCCCCAACUAAUAGAUCGCCUUCUCGAAUCCUGCAUAGAUUUCCAUGUUUAGAUCAUGUACCAGUUACUCUUUGGUGUAUAUGCAUGCACGGUGGAUAUCUGAAGUCGUUUAAUGAAGCCUUUUGAGGAGUAGGGAUUACAGUGGACAAACGCGAAUGAUUUUUUUUUAACAAUACAUAGUCCUGUUGUGUUUUUUUUCCAUUCAUUUGUAUCCAAAGCAAACCACAUUCACUCACAAUAUGCGGUUGACUCUCACGAAUCUGAUUUGACAUUAGAGUGGACUGCAGAAGCAAGCUUAUUUUUGACCAAAACCAUUUUUUUUCUUCCCACGAAGAAAUUCACACAUUACAUGUUUCCCCGUCUGCAUGUCAAAAUCCCUCGGCCAUUGUUUUAUUGGCGCAUUAACAGUCAUUUUUUUGUUAACGAGCACCAUUAAGCCAGUCCACGCGGUCAUGCCCUUGCCUUUGCCGGCAACCCGCACUUCUUCAACUCUUUUUUUAAAGUGCGUUUAAACCAUAAUAAAAUUCAUGGCGACUGCUUAAGGUUUUAUAGUGCUGAUAUAUGACUUGCUCUAGUGCAGACUGUAAACACUACUGGGAUUGUUGCAGCCUUAUUUCUUGCUCGGGAAAUGUGCACAUCUCAUUCAGCGGUCAGGCUGCUCCGAGUGAACACCUCUUGGGUGUGGGAUGUCCGAGGGAGUCCUCGGCAUAUCAACUUCCCGGAUGAAGGCCCAACAACAGACCGGAGCAAUGGGCCGACUUGAUUCUGGACUUCCUGCAUUCUGACCUCUUAUCAAAAGACAAUGUCUAAAAUCUCGUCUUCUUCUUGGAACCAAAUUUGCAGAUGUGACAGGGGGCACGGCAGGAACACCGAGUAAGGCGUAGCACAUCUACAAAAUUCAACAACACGCUGAAGUAGACCGGGCG
Hippocampus comes (tiger tail seahorse) is the source of this 1073-nucleotide long non-coding RNA. RefSeq lists it as uncharacterized. The transcript has 3 exons. The record is from RefSeq and is a predicted model, not a curated record. NCBI's taxonomy places the organism in Eukaryota, Metazoa, Chordata, Actinopteri, Syngnathiformes, Syngnathidae.